RNAcentral lists this ribosomal RNA (743 nucleotides) under uncultured bacterium. Its description in RNAcentral is "bacterial SSU rRNA". It matches the Rfam family "Bacterial small subunit ribosomal RNA", at positions 8 to 735 of the family's 1533-position model. The record is from RNAcentral.
AGAGUUGAUCCUGGCUCAAACGAACGCUGGCGGCGUGCCUACACAUGCAAGUCGUACGAGAACAGGACUUCGGUCCUUAGUAAAGUGGCAGACGGGUGAGUAACACGUGGGCAACCUGCCCUCGAGUGGGGAAUAACUCAGGGAAACUUGGGCUAAUACCGCAUAAAAUCACGGACUCUCUGGGGUUUGUGAUGAAAGGUGGGGAUCGUGAGACCUACCGCUCGAGGAGGGGCCCGCGCCUGAUUAGCUUGUUGGUGGGGUAACGGCCCACCAAGGCGACGAUCAGUAGCCGGCCUGAGAGGGCGAUCGGCCACACUGGAACUGAGACACGGUCCAGACUCCUACGGGAGGCAGCAGUGAGGAAUCUUGCGCAAUGGGCGAAAGCCUGACGCAGCAACGCCGCGUGGGUGAUGAAGGCCUUCGGGUCGUAAAACCCUGUCAGGUGGGAAGAACGGGUAGUGGGUCAAUACCCCGUUACCUUGACUGUACCACCAGAGGAAGCCCCGGCUAACUCCGUGCCAGCAGCCGCGGUAAUACGGGGGGGCCAGCGUUGUUCGGAUUUAUUGGGCGUAAAGGGCGCGUACGCGGUCAAGCAAGUCAGUUGUGAAAUCCCCUGGCUUACCCAGGGACCUGCUUCUGAAACUGCUUGACUUGAGUCCGGGAGAGGAGAGUGCAUUCCCAGUGUAGCGGUGGAAUGCGUAGAUAUUGGGAGGAACACCAGUGGCCAAGGCGGCUUCUGGACA